RNAcentral lists this ribosomal RNA (106 nucleotides) under Platycladus orientalis. Lineage: Eukaryota; Viridiplantae; Streptophyta; Pinopsida; Cupressales; Cupressaceae. The record is from RNAcentral.
CCGGGCACUACGGCAAGACGUUCAACACCCGAUCCCAUUCUGACCUCGAUCUGCCGUCUUGCGCCAUAUGUACUGCGGAAGCGGGAGACAUGGUCAAAGCCCGGUC